This is a long non-coding RNA of Anarrhichthys ocellatus (wolf-eel), 2176 nucleotides long. RefSeq lists it as uncharacterized. Lineage: Eukaryota; Metazoa; Chordata; Actinopteri; Perciformes; Anarhichadidae. The record is from RefSeq and is a predicted model, not a curated record. The transcript has 2 exons.
UUCCGCGGCUAGCAUAACUACUUCAACGACAGCAGCAGUGACACAUAAAGAAAAGACAACGCACGCCAGAUCGGAUGCAGGCCUGGGACAAUACACGCUGCUAUCGUGUUGUAUCAAUUACAGCUGACCACCGGUCAGGUGGGUCUGCGGGACAUUUUAGAUCACGGAGGGGCAGCCAGCUCGUUCAGCGCCUCAAGCCUGCUCCCAGACUCCAGUCCCAGGCCCCGCUGAGGCCUUGUCCCAGGCAGGGCAGAGAGACACCUGGCCAAACCGCAGAAACACUUCCAGCUGCAGACUGCCUGAUGCUCACCACGGAGAGAAUCCAGGCCAAAGGUGGAGGAGCUCACCAAGAACUACUGCACUACCAUAAACACUUUUAUUUAAACCACACUACCACAUAUUUGCUCAUCUGCAGAGGUUCGGUAAUGACAGGCAUGUCUUUAAGUUCCAGAGGAAACUUUUACAUUGUCACGAUGUUUACACUGUGUCCCAACAAAAAUCUCGUUUCCACCUCCAAAAUGGGAACCAGAGCCCAGCAGCAGGACUGUUAAACUGUGCUCCUCGGCGUGAAAGUGGGUGAAAAAAAAAGGCAGAGGGAACAACAGCUCCCUUUUCUCUCCGACUAGUUGACAUGAAAGGCCACAUUAUGUCCGAGAUUAGAGGCAAUUACACUUGGAGUGCGCUUUAAGACCUUUGUUUGCCAACAUGACAGGAGGGAGCAGGGCUGUAAUUUGAUGAGGAGGCAGUGCGAGUGAGAACCUCUGCAUGGCGAGCUCCCAGCGGAGAGAGGCAAAGAGAAGCCUUUGUCCGCUGCGUGGCCAGGGCAGUUGGCAGAAAUAUGAACAUUUAGAGGAAGAAUAAUUCAACUAGAAUUCAUUAAAUAGCAGAGGGGUCUUUGUGUGGCUCCUGUUUAUGGCUGAAAAGUGAGUUUAAAGAGACUUUACAGCCUCGGAGGAAAUACUUUCAUCUUUGCCUUUUGUUCCGAAUAGCUCUCUAUUGUUUCAGCAUUUCUGUUAAUUGAAAUGGCACAAUUGUGUUGCUUCAGUCGAAUGUUACAAAUACUGUAAACAUAUGAUUCUGCCUGAACUUGCGGUCAAAGAAAACCAGCCCCCCAAAAUCUUCAGGACGUGAUAUCUCCUUCAUAGCCGGGCGCAUUGUUCUGAACACACUGCGAAUUUUCAGGACAGGAAACGAGCAGCUUGUUCCAGCCCGACCGGCAGAAUGGAGCACGUCUUUAUUUGAGGGAAGUCAUUCCGUUGAUAUAUAAAACACCAAAGCAAGGUUUCCUUCCCCCUCGUUUUCCUGGUGCUAUCCCCUUCAAAAGGACACGGCCCUUUAUACUGGGCUCACAUGCACACACGGGACCAGAAGAAAAGCAAACAGAGGCCAUUUAAAUAUCAACCAACCUGCCUCCUGUUUGAAUGGAGGAGCUACUGCUCGGCCCGGGCUAGUCCAGCAUGCUGGUGUUACGUGCUCAGCCCUCUGAGCAAUGAGUGGACUAAACUGGGGAGCAUCAGCAAAACAAAGCAUUAUGGUGUUCACUUCUGCAGGUAUAGGCCAAUACUGCGAAAUUGAAUAUACUGUAUGUGGUUGGGUCUUCACUACUGUAUGUGAAAUAAAACCCUUUGUGUUAAGAUUAAAUUAAUCAGCCACACAUUCAGCAACUUUGUCUUUUUUUGUUGAAUAGAAGAAAAACAUCGUCAUAUUCCUUGAUGUCAAGUAUUAAGAUGCAAGAUUCAAUUUAUUGUCAUCUUCUCCAAACACAUCAGGCAGUAUACAGUAACCUCAAUGCUACGGCAAGAACAGAGAAAAGAAGUACAAAGAGUAAAGUGCAGAAGUAUGAAGUGCGAUGAAUGAUAAGUGCUGUCCGUCGCACGUAUGAAGAAUGAAUCUUGUUUUUCAUUAAAAAGAAUAUAAUGUCUGAUGCGUAAAUCUUAAUAAUAAUAAGAAUACCCACGGAAAUAAAAAGAGAAGAUAUAAAAACAACAGCAGAAAUAGUAUUGGCAGGGAUUGUUUUAGUGGAAACUCAGGUCUCCAAUUGACACCAAUCAUAUCAACAACUUUUUAAACAAUACCCACUUUCACCGUCUUGUUCUCCUCAGCCAAAUGUUCCCAGAAGGGUGUGUGGAAGAGGAAGAGGACCACCUAUUAAAGUGAAAUCUUAGGAGUGAUGGAU